This 681-nucleotide ribosomal RNA is filed under the name uncultured Clostridium sp. RNAcentral describes it as "bacterial SSU rRNA". It matches the Rfam family "Bacterial small subunit ribosomal RNA", at positions 28 to 737 of the family's 1533-position model. Lineage: Bacteria; Bacillati; Bacillota; Clostridia; Eubacteriales; Clostridiaceae. The record is from RNAcentral.
GAUGAACGCUGGCGGCGUGCCUAACACAUGCAAGUCGAGCGAUUUACUUCGGUAAAGAGCGGCGGACGGGUGAGUAACGCGUGGGUAACCUGCCCUGUACACACGGAUAACAUACCGAAAGGUAUGCUAAUACGAGAUAAUAUACUUUUAUCGCAUGGUAGAAGUAUCAAAGCUCCGGCGGUACAGGAUGGACCCGCGUCUGAUUAGCUAGUUGGUAAGGUAACGGCUUACCAAGGCGACGAUCAGUAGCCGACCUGAGAGGGUGAUCGGCCACAUUGGAACUGAGACACGGUCCAAACUCCUACGGGAGGCAGCAGUGGGGAAUAUUGCACAAUGGGCGAAAGCCUGAUGCAGCAACGCCGCGUGAGCGAUGAAGGCCUUCGGGUCGUAAAGCUCUGUCCUCAAGGAAGAUAAUGACGGUACUUGAGGAGGAAGCCCCGGCUAACUACGUGCCAGCAGCCGCGGUAAUACGUAGGGGGCUAGCGUUAUCCGGAAUUACUGGGCGUAAAGGGUGCGUAGGUGGUUUCUUAAGUCAGAGGUGAAAGGCUACGGCUCAACCGUAGUAAGCCUUUGAAACUGGGAAACUUGAGUGCAGGAGAGGAGAGUGGAAUUCCUAGUGUAGCGGUGAAAUGCGUAGAUAUUAGGAGGAACACCAGUUGCGAAGGCGGCUCUCUGGACUGU